This is a non-coding RNA of Vicia faba (fava bean), 372 nucleotides long. The record is from the annotation of a GenBank genome assembly. Lineage: Eukaryota; Viridiplantae; Streptophyta; Magnoliopsida; Fabales; Fabaceae.
AACGAUGUAGUUUGGAAAAAGGAUAAGGUUCAAAAAAAUUUGGCUUUUGAUCUUCACGAAAAAAACAGCUCUUCUCCUUCACCAAACGGCGCCGAAAAUAGAAUUUCAAUCUCACCUUUCUCAUGCGAACUUCCAGCGCAUUGCCGUCUUCUGCUCCUGCUUCCUCUUCACCGUUCAUACAAUUCCAUUAACCUCUUCUCUGAUCGAACUCGAAUCGCGACAAUCCUCUUCUUCGAAUGUGAACCAUGUUGUCCGCUUCUCUAUUCAAUCUUCUUCGCAGAUUUCUGCCGCCGAUCAUCUCAAAUCCUAAAUCGCAGCGACGGCUAUCUCAACCUCCUAAUCACCUUUUUUGCUCUGCAUCGAAUGAAAUAA